This 524-nucleotide ribosomal RNA is filed under the name Alternaria sp. CID704. Its description in RNAcentral is "eukaryotic LSU rRNA". The stretch from base 151 to 304 matches the Rfam family "5.8S ribosomal RNA". Lineage: Eukaryota; Fungi; Ascomycota; Dothideomycetes; Pleosporales; Pleosporaceae. The record is from RNAcentral.
CACGGCGUGCGCGGCUGGAGCGGCCUGCUGAAUUAUUCACCCGUGUCUUUUGCGUACUUCUUGUUUCCUGGGUGGGCUCGCCCGCCAUCAGGACCAACCAUAAACCUUUUUGUAAUAGCAAUCAGCGUCAGUAACAACGUAAUUAAUUACAACUUUCAACAACGGAUCUCUUGGUUCUGGCAUCGAUGAAGAACGCAGCGAAAUGCGAUACGUAGUGUGAAUUGCAGAAUUCAGUGAAUCAUCGAAUCUUUGAACGCACAUUGCGCCCUUUGGUAUUCCAAAGGGCAUGCCUGUUCGAGCGUCAUUUGUACCCUCAAGCUUUGCUUGGUGUUGGGCGUCUUUUGUCUCCAGCUCGCUGGAGACUCGCCUUAAAGUCAUUGGCAGCCGGCCUACUGGUUUCGGAGCGCAGCACAAGUCGCGCUCUUGCCCAGCCAAGGUCAGCGUCCAGCAAGCCUUUUUUCAACCUUUGACCUCGGAUCAGGUAGGGAUACCCGCUGAACUUAAGCAUAUCAAUAAGCGGAGGA